Molecule: ribosomal RNA, 429 nt
Filed under: Pseudomonadota bacterium
Lineage: Bacteria; Pseudomonadati; Pseudomonadota
Description: Proteobacteria bacterium partial 16S ribosomal RNA
Rfam family: Bacterial small subunit ribosomal RNA
Source: RNAcentral
UGGGGAAUAUUGGACAAUGGGCGAAAGCCUGAUCCAGCCAUGCCGCGUGUGUGAAGAAGGUCUUCGGAUUGUAAAGCACUUUAAGUUGGGAGGAAGGGCAGUAAGCGAAUACCUUGCUGUUUUGACGUUACCGACAGAAUAAGCACCGGCUAACUCUGUGCCAGCAGCCGCGGUAAUACAGAGGGUGCAAGCGUUAAUCGGAAUUACUGGGCGUAAAGCGCGCGUAGGUGGUUCGUUAAGUUGAAUGUGAAAGCCCCGGGCUCAACCUGGGAACUGCAUCCAAAACUGGCGAGCUAGAGUAGGGCAGAGGGUGGUGGAAUUUCCUGUGUAGCGGUGAAAUGGGUAGAUAUAGGAAGGAACACCAGUGGCGAAGGCGACCACCUGGGCUCAUACUGACACUGAGGUGCGAAAGCGUGGGGAGCAAACAGG